CCUACGGGGCGCAGCAGUGAGGAAUAUUGGUCAAUGGGCGAGAGCCUGAACCAGCCAAGUCGCGUGAGGGAAGACGGCCCUAUGGAUUGUAAACCUCUUUUGUCUGGGGGGAAUAGACUUUACGCGUAGAGUGAUGAGAGUACCAUAAGAAAAAGCAUCGGCUAACUCCGUGCCAGCAGCCGCGGUAAUACGGAGGAUGCGAGCGUUAUCCGGAUUUAUUGGGUUUAAAGGGUGCGUAGGCGGAA
RNAcentral lists this ribosomal RNA (245 nucleotides) under uncultured bacterium. RNAcentral describes it as "partial 16S ribosomal RNA". It matches the Rfam family "Bacterial small subunit ribosomal RNA", at positions 338 to 580 of the family's 1533-position model. The record is from RNAcentral.